This 468-nucleotide ribosomal RNA is filed under the name uncultured bacterium. RNAcentral's name for it is "partial 16S ribosomal RNA". It matches the Rfam family "Bacterial small subunit ribosomal RNA", at positions 28 to 507 of the family's 1533-position model. The record is from RNAcentral.
GACGAACGCUGGCGGCGUGCUUAACACAUGCAAGUCGAACGGAAAGGCCCGGCUUUUGUGGGGUGCUCGAGUGGCGAACGGGGGAGUAACACGUGAGUAAACUGCCCUUGACUUUGGGAUAACUUCAGGAAACUGGGGCUAAUACCGGAUAGGAUAUCCUGCUGCAUGGUGGGGGUUGGAAAGUUUCGGCGGUUGGGGCUCGACUCGCGGGUUACGAGCCUGUUGGUGGGGUAGUGGCUUACCAAGGCUUUGACGGGUAGCCUGCCUGAGAGGGUGAACGGCCACAUUGGGCCUGAGAUACGGACCAGAAGCCUACGUGAGGCAGCAGUCGAGAACAUUGCACAACGGGCGGAAGUCUGAUGCAGAAACGCCGCGUGCGGGAUGACGGCCUUCGGGUUGUAAACCGCUUUGUCCUGUGACGAAGCGUGAGUGACGGUAAUGGGUAAAGAAGCACCGGCUAACUACGUG